AGGUCAACAUAAGAUUCACAAAGUAAGAAUCUUGAAUUAUGCUUCAAUAGAAAUUAGUGACCUACUGCGGUGUCCAGCAUGACAGUAGCGAUGGUAGACAGUGGCAACAAUAGCAUCCAAUCGGUACAGAAAGGAUGAGAAGAAGAAUAAUAAAAGAAAUUACAUUAGACUUAGCCAAGAUCUUGGUCGAGCCUCUAACCAAUGGCCAUAUCCUGACG
This 218-nucleotide long non-coding RNA is filed under the name Elaeis guineensis (African oil palm). RNAcentral's name for it is "long non-coding RNA (EGUI_LNC035309)". Lineage: Eukaryota; Viridiplantae; Streptophyta; Magnoliopsida; Arecales; Arecaceae. The record is from RNAcentral.